GGUCAUUGUCCUGUUGCAACACCCAUCUUCUGUUGAGCUACAGCUGGUAGACAGAUGGCCUUAGGUUCUUCUGCAAAAUGUCUUGACAAACUUGGAAAUUCAGUUUUCCUUCGAUGAAAGCAAUGCGUCCAGGCCCUGACGCAGCAAAGCAGCCCCAAACCAUGAUGCCCCCACCACCAUACUUCACAGUUGGGAUGAGGUUUUGAUGUUGGUGUGCUGUGCCUUUUUUUCGCCACACAGUGUUGUGUGUUUCUUCCAAACAACUCAACUUUGGUUUCAUCUGUCCACAAAAUAUUUUACCAGUACUGCUGUGGAACAUCCAGGUGCUCUUGUGCAAACUGUAAAC
This is a non-coding RNA of Pelobates cultripes (western spadefoot toad), 346 nucleotides long. NCBI's taxonomy places the organism in Eukaryota, Metazoa, Chordata, Amphibia, Anura, Pelobatidae. The record is from the annotation of a GenBank genome assembly.